This 274-nucleotide ribosomal RNA is filed under the name uncultured bacterium. RNAcentral describes it as "partial 16S ribosomal RNA". It matches the Rfam family "Bacterial small subunit ribosomal RNA", at positions 523 to 796 of the family's 1533-position model. The record is from RNAcentral.
AUACGGAGGGUGCAAGCGUUGUUCGGAAUCACUGGGCGUAGAGGGCGCGCAGGCGGUUUGGUAAGUCAGAUGUGAAAGCCCAUGGCUCAACCAUGGAAGUGCAUUUGAAACUGUCAGACUUGAGUACUAGAGGGGAAAGUGGAAUUCCCGGUGUAGAGGUGAAAUUCGUAGAUAUCGGGAGGAAUACCGGUGGCGAAGGCGACUUUCUGGCUAGAUACUGACGCUGAGGCGCGAAAGCGUGGGGAGCAAACAGGAUUAGAAACCCUGGUAGUCC